ACCAAUACCAUAUUUUUAAUUAUCUUCCAGGCCAAAAUUAUACAUCAGAAGCAAAGAUUAAACAUGCUUAUUCUAAGAGGAAAGAGAGUAGUUCUUAUUUUUGUAGAAGGAGAAAUGAAAGGCCAUUUAAUUUUGCCAACUGAUAUGGUUUGGGUCUGUGUUCCCACCCAAAUCUCACAUUGAAUUGUAAUCCCCAGUGUUGGAGGUGGGGCUUGGUGGGAGGUGACUGGCUUAUGGGGGUGGUUUCUAAUGGUUUAGUACCAUCCCUCUAGUGCUGUCUCAUGACAGAGUCCUCACCAGAUCUGGAUGUUGAAAAGUGUGAGGUACCUCCUCCCUCUGUCUCUUCCUCCUGCCCUGGCUAUGAAAGAUGUGCCUGCUUCCCCUUCACCUUCCACCAUCAUGGUCUGAGCCCAGGGAGCUACUUCUGGAGAUGCUGUGGUCUGGGGUGGAUCCUGCCUUCUCAGCCCCUGCCUGUUGAAGUCACUGAAGUCUCUGCUGCAUCUCCGGGCUUCUGCUGAGCAGGGCUGGAAGGUCUUGCUUGAGGAGCUGAAGCCCACCAGCAGGUGGCAGACAAAUCCAGAGGGUAUUCAUUGGAGGAUGAAGAUUUCCUGCCUCUGGCAGAGCCCCACCAACCAGGCCUGGCGAUCAUGACAUCCAAUUCCAGGGGCUGCAGGGGAGCCCUUCCUUCCGAGUGAGCCACGAGGCUGCCUGCCCUGGUGUUUGGCUUCAGGCAGCUCUGACAUCAAUCUGUCAUUCCAGAGGACACUUUUAGAUAAACAGUCUUGCUCUGUUGCCAGGCUGGAGUACAGUGGCACGAUCUUGGCUCACUGCAAUCUCCACCUCCCAGGUUCAAGCGAUUCUCCUGCCUCAGACUCCUGAAUAGCUGGGACUACAGGCAUGUGCCACCACAUCCGGCUAAUUUUUUGUAUUUUUUUAGUAGAGAUGUGGUUUCACCAUGUUGGCCAGGAUGGUCUCAAUCUCCUGACCUCAUGAUCCACCCGCCUUGGCCUCCCAAAGUGCUGGGAUUGCAGGCAUGAGCCACUGUGCCCGGCCUGCAAAUUCUUUUAAAGUACACUUUUAUAGUUGUAUAAUGCCAGUGUAGACUAACCUCUGUAACAACCAACCUUCAAAUGUCAAUGUCUUAAUAUCUUACUUUCGUAUCAAAAUACAAAGUGAGUCAGCAGGGAGACUGUUCCAGUGUCAUUCAGGGACCCUGACUUCUUCCAUCCUGUGGUUCUACCUUACCCUGGGUACUCUUCACUCAACUUAUGGAUGGGCAAAGGGAAGCGUUCAUCUGAGGUGGUCGUGUGAGUCUGUGUGAGCCUGCAAGCACUGCCCAUCUCUUACACCCACACCCCAUUGGCCAGAACUCUGUUCUCUGAUAAACAGUGGCAUCGUUGUUGUGCUUGACCACAAGAAAAGGAAUUGUGUGUCCAGGAAAGAGAGAAGAUGCAUGUAGCUGAGGAGUGGCAGUUUCGGCUGUAAAUAUAUAACCUCACCCAAGGGGGUGCUUCACCUAAAAACUUGCAGUAGGCAGAAUGAUGGUGUCCCCAGUGACGUCCACGUCCUCAUCCCAGAAUCUGUGACUAUGUCACCUUACAUGCACAAGGACCUUGCAGAUGGGAUUAAGCUGAGAAUCCUGAGAUGGGGAUGUUUUCCUGGAUAAUCUGGGCAGGCCCAGUAUCAUCACAAAGGUCCUUAGAAGUGGAAGAGGGAGGCAGGAGAGUCAGAGAGAGGUUUGAAGAUGCCGUACUGAAGGCUUUGAAGGUGGAGGAAAGGGCAAGGAACCCAGGCAGCCUCUGGAAGCAGGAAAAGGUGAAGGAAUGAAUCCCUGGAGGACGCAGCCCUGCCAACACCUCAAUUUCAGCACAGUGAGACCCAUUUUGGACCUCUGAUCUUUAAGACUAUGAGAUAAUAAAUCUGCAUUGUUGUAAGCCUCCAAGUUUGUGGCAAUUUGUUACAGCAGCCAUAGGAAAUGGAUACGGAGCUCUCUCAAUGUUGUAUCCCUACCAUGUGCCUGACCCAUUGGAGGUUCACCCAGUAGGCACAUUUUUUUCAUGUGGGCUUCAAU
This 2071-nucleotide long non-coding RNA is filed under the name Homo sapiens (human). Its description in RNAcentral is "HSALNT0172173". The record is from RNAcentral. Lineage: Eukaryota; Metazoa; Chordata; Mammalia; Primates; Hominidae.